This is a long non-coding RNA of Helianthus annuus (common sunflower), 2803 nucleotides long. RefSeq lists it as uncharacterized. The record is from RefSeq and is a predicted model, not a curated record. The transcript is spliced from 3 exons. NCBI's taxonomy places the organism in Eukaryota, Viridiplantae, Streptophyta, Magnoliopsida, Asterales, Asteraceae.
CGUGAGACGGAUUCAAAGCAUAGAAGGCAAUGAAUUAUAAGAAUGAAAGGUUUAAAUUCGUAAGUAAUUACGUACCAAACAAUAAGUAUUCUUUAGAAAGUGGAUAUUACUUAAGUUAUGUUUUGAACUUCUAUCUAUAUAAAUAUUUAUGUGAAUACGUUGUAUGCAAGAUGGUUGAGAUGUAUAAAUGAGUCAUACGGGUCAAAUGGGGAUUGCCAUUGAACCCGAUAUUUAAUGUUUUAAAUUGUCAAGUCUUAUAAUUGUAGGCGAACAUAAUGCAUGAUCAUCCAAUGCCACAGAUUGGAAAGAAAUAACCAUCGUAAGUUAUGGAUAACGAGUCAAAGGCUUCGAUUCGCGCAAGGUAUGUACAAAUUUAUGCUUUCUUUUGAGUAGGGGCUUAUAGCUCGACUAGAGAGGGAUGUGCCAGAAAUGGGUAGUUGGUAGACAUAUGGUCAGAAUGUAGUUUACAAUUGGAUUUCCGAACAAGUUAAACAAAGUAAGUGAUAGUUGCUAAGCAGGUAUUAGUAAAGUUAGCAUGAAGUAUUUGAUUUACUAUGUAGGUAAAGCCAAUGUAAGCUAUUGUAGUAGCAAGAAACCUUAGCUGAAAGAAAUAAGCUGUGAGCAAGUUACAUGAAAGGUAUAUUACUAAAUGACUCUUGUGGGUCAAAAUGAAUUACGGGCUACGACCCGAACAAUAACUUAAGUAUGGACGGGAAGGGUAAGUUUUGCAAGAAGAACGGAAAGGAUGUAUUAAAGUACUUGUAUGUAAGCAUGAAUGGAAAGGAAUACAAUCGUGUAUUUCAUUACAUCCAUGAUAAUUAAGAAACGUUAGUUAGACCUUGGAAAGCCAACUGUAAUGGGUCGGUGAAAUAAUUAACAAAAUGAAGGAAUUGUGGGUGUUUAUAACACUAAACAGAAUAAAUUGGAAAGAAUGUAAUAAUGAUAAGUACCAACGGAAAAUGCUAACCUUGAUGCUAGGUUUGUUGGCCAUGUUCAUUUAAACAAGAUAUUGUUAGAAGGAAGCCCAUGAGCGGAAGCCAUUCAUGAAAGGAAGGGAAUCGAACCAGCCUUGACACGGACUCAUUCAGAAGCGGGCCAAUCCGGUUUGCAGAUCGUUAAGUUAUACAAUGAAGGUGAGGUUAGUAAAAUGUUAAAUUCUAGAUUGAAAGGUAAGAAUCUGUGAAUUAUUUGUACAUAUGAAUGAAAUGAAUGGUAGGACAAAUAUAGUAUAGUAUGAAAUAACCGACUAGCAAUGGUCAUCUUUAGAAAGUAUUUAUGUCAAUAAGAGGAAGAUUUAAGGACCCUGAAUGAAAACUUGGAACUAGUUGAUUAAUGCUCAUAUGUUGCUCUUUGCACGACAUGCCGGUUUAGUAUAAGGAAGUAAUGUGAAAGAUUAAAUAUAAGGUUAGACAUAAGGUUGUAAGUAGUUCAAGUGGCGGUAGAAAAGUAGAUUAAUGAUUGAUCCUCAUAACAAGUACGGAUAACGAGAUUUAAAAAUGAUAGUUAUGUUAGAAUGUUGAUGCUUGGAUGUUUACGGUAAUGCGUACUAUCAUACGCUCACUUCACAUAGGGACAUGAAGGAACCUAGAAAGGAUGUUAGUUUCAAAUUAUGGAAUAUGGGAUGUGUCACAAACGUCAAUUCCUCACAACAUACUUAUGUAAGUCGUCCAAUUUAACAUGAAUGAAUAAACGAACGAAGAGUAAGACUAGACGGGUUAUAGAAGGAAUGAAAGAGGUUUCAGGGACGAAACCUUCUUUAAGGGGGGUAGACUUGUAACACCCCAAAAACGGGUUUAUUAAUUAUAAUAAAGUAACUGAAAAUAAACGGGUAAAAUACGGUAGUGAUAAAAAUAAACCCAGUAAAUAUUAGGAUCUAAAUAAGUAAGCCUAAUAUUAACUAAAAAGUGAAUCAAAGCUUUGGAGGAAAUAAAGCUUAUAAAAGACCCGAGGUAACGGGGUGUAUGUAACACCCUAAAACAUAAAUCCUUUUAUUAUAAAUCCGACGUUGAUAUUAACGAGAUAAACUAACUAGUGAUAAAACUAACCUAGUUAGAUAAGAGUUUAGUGAUAAUAAAUUAGAGUGUUAGAAACACCCAAAUAAAAACCUCAUGAAAGUAGGAGGGUUAAAAGUGCCAAGUAUGAAACAAGUUUUAUUAAACACAAAUAAAAUAAAAAUCCAACACACACACUGGUGUGUGGAUCGACCAGAACGCAGAAGGGGGUUUUCCAAAACCCUAACUCACCCAAAAAUUCACAAAUUGAAGGUCAAGAUCAAUUCCAAAACGAAAUCUAAGCCUAGAUUGGUGAUCUCCAUUACAAGGGGGUCAUAAGCGUAGGAGCCAUGUCAAUAUGGACACGAGCAUGGAAGGGCAAUGGGUCAAAGCUAAAAACGGAAGCUAUGCAUGAACUCGGACGCACGAGGAAUGAGAACGUCAGACUCUUGUAGAAUUGAAGCCGAACCUGGAAGCCGAACUCGAAACAAAGGAAUCCGAGAGGAUAGUCGAAUGAAUCAAAGUUUAUGUUGUUGAAUGUUAUAUGAUUUUUAAUUGUACCAGAUUAUUGUUGUAUGAUGUUGUCAAUGACUAAUGGUUAAGUUGUAUGUGAUGUCCACAGGUACUACACGGAUUUCUUCUACCACUAUCGAAGAUAAGCGGGCAUAGAUCGAGUCGAAUAACAAGGAUUGUACGGAAAGAACGGUUACGUAGUCUUAAUUUUGUAACGCAUUAAUUUGUAAAAAGGGAAGUGAAUUUUGUAAGCUUCUUCUUGAAUGUGUGUAUUGUUUUAAGAUCGUAAAGAAAUUUUU